CUACGUGCCAGCAGCCGCGGUAAUACGGAGGAUGCGAGCGUUAUCCGGAUUUAUUGGGUUUAAAGGGUGCGUAGGUUGUUCGGUAAGUCAGCGGUGAAACCUGAGCGCUCAACGUUCAGCCUGCCGUUGAAACUGCCGGGCUUGAGUUCAGUGGCGGCAGGCGGAAUUCGUGGUGUAGCGGUGAAAUGCAUAGAUAUCACGAGGAACUCCGAUUGCGAAGGCAGCUUGCCAUACUGCGACUGACACUGAAGCACGAAGGCGUGGGUAUCAAACAGGAUUAGAUACCCUGGUAGUCCACGCAGUAAACGAUGAUAACUGGGCGUAUGCGAUAUACAGUAUGCUCCUAAGCGAAAGCGUUAAGUUAUCCACCUGGGGAGUACGCCGGCAACGGUGAAACUCAAAGGAAUUGACGGGGGCCCGCACAAGCGGAGGAACAUGUGGUUUAAUUCGAUGAUACGCGAGGAACCUUACCCGGGAUUGAA
This 482-nucleotide ribosomal RNA is filed under the name uncultured bacterium. RNAcentral's name for it is "bacterial SSU rRNA". It matches the Rfam family "Bacterial small subunit ribosomal RNA", at positions 501 to 985 of the family's 1533-position model. The record is from RNAcentral.